Molecule: long non-coding RNA, 700 nt
Filed under: Chinchilla lanigera (long-tailed chinchilla)
Lineage: Eukaryota; Metazoa; Chordata; Mammalia; Rodentia; Chinchillidae
Description: lncRNA (ENSCLAG00000023918.1)
Source: RNAcentral
GCAGCCUUUCCUCGGUCCUAGACCAGCGACUUGCCCUGCCUGUGAGCCCUCUGUCUGGAAGAACGGCCCCUUGCCUUCUCCUUCCUCCCUGUCAGUGGUCAGCUCCUAUCCCCUUCCUCCCAUCCACAGCUUUGAGAGAGCAAACAGCCCUGUCCCGUGCGCAGGGCUCCGGAGUUCAUCACAGAGCAGACCCACAGGACUCUCCCUUGAAACCUGCCACUCCUGAAGCCACCAAGAGGAAGAAAGAGCCAAGCAGGGGAGGCAGAAGGCGAUGCAGGAAAGGCUUCCUCUUGCAGCAGAGGCCCUGGCCAGCUGGUAGGACAGCGGCGGGCCCUGGGGCGAGGCCAAGACUUUCCUCCUGCUCCACACACUCCAGCUGUGUGACUCUGCUUCCAGAGAAUGGCAUGGGCGUGAAGGGCCAGCAUAACAGCAACCCAUGCCCCUGAGAGGCAGGGCCCCAAUGCUCCCAGAACCCACAGGGCCUCUGCCCUGGCCUCAGCCGGGAGCAUGGAUGACAGCUCCUGGGAUUGUCUAAUAGCCAGUGGAAUCCAAAUUCCUGCCUCUCGUUCUCAAACCAGGAGUUUAUGUAUUAUAUUAGCUCUUAUGCCACAUUAAUUUUCUUUCUUUGCUUUUCUUUCUUUUUUUUUCUUUUCCUUCGUUUUUGAUGGCACUGGUUGAUAAAUCCGGGCCAGUUAUCCUG